Nyctereutes procyonoides (raccoon dog) is the source of this 4818-nucleotide RNA transcript. It is a transcript of the gene named dynamin 1, with no coding region annotated. The transcript has 24 exons. The record is from RefSeq and is a predicted model, not a curated record. Lineage: Eukaryota; Metazoa; Chordata; Mammalia; Carnivora; Canidae.
GCAGGCACUCGGAGCGCGCGGCUGCAGCAGAGGAGCCGGAGCCGGGAACCGGAGCCGGGAGCCGGAGCCGCGGCCGGAUCGCAGCCCGCGGGGCCCGCCGCAGCCAUGGGCAACCGCGGCAUGGAGGAUCUCAUCCCGCUAGUCAACCGGCUGCAGGACGCCUUCUCUGCUAUCGGCCAGAACGCGGACCUCGACCUACCGCAGAUCGCGGUGGUGGGCGGCCAGAGCGCCGGCAAGAGCUCGGUGCUCGAGAAUUUCGUAGGCAGGGACUUCCUGCCCCGAGGGUCAGGCAUUGUCACCCGACGGCCCCUGGUCCUGCAGCUGGUCAAUGCCACCACAGAAUAUGCCGAAUUCCUGCACUGCAAGGGGAAGAAAUUCACUGACUUCGAGGAGGUACGCCUGGAGAUCGAGGCUGAGACCGACCGGGUCACUGGCACCAACAAGGGCAUCUCGCCGGUGCCCAUCAACCUCCGCGUCUACUCGCCUCAGGUCCUGAAUCUGACACUGGUGGACCUACCCGGAAUGACCAAGGUCCCAGUGGGGGACCAACCUCCUGACAUCGAGUUCCAGAUCCGGGACAUGCUUAUGCAGUUCGUCACCAAAGAGAACUGCCUCAUCCUGGCUGUGUCCCCCGCCAACUCCGACCUGGCCAACUCUGAUGCUCUCAAGGUUGCCAAGGAGGUGGACCCCCAGGGUCAGCGCACCAUCGGGGUCAUCACCAAGCUAGAUCUGAUGGAUGAGGGCACAGAUGCCCGAGAUGUGCUGGAGAAUAAGCUCCUUCCCCUGCGCAGAGGCUACAUAGGGGUGGUAAACCGAAGCCAGAAGGACAUUGAUGGCAAGAAGGACAUCUCAGCUGCCUUGGCCGCUGAACGCAAGUUCUUUCUCUCCCACCCAUCCUACCGCCACUUGGCGGACCGCAUGGGCACACCCUACCUACAGAAGGUCCUCAACCAGCAACUGACCAACCACAUCCGGGACACACUGCCGGGGCUCCGGAACAGGCUGCAGAGCCAGCUACUGUCCAUUGAGAAGGAGGUGGAGGAGUACAAGAACUUCCGACCUGAUGACCCAGCACGCAAGACCAAGGCCCUGCUGCAGAUGGUCCAGCAGUUUGCUGUGGACUUUGAGAAGCGCAUUGAGGGCUCCGGGGACCAGAUUGACACCUAUGAACUGUCAGGGGGAGCCCGCAUCAACCGGAUCUUCCAUGAGCGCUUCCCCUUUGAGCUAGUCAAGAUGGAGUUUGAUGAGAAGGAGCUCCGGAGAGAGAUCAGCUACGCCAUCAAGAAUAUCCAUGGCAUUAGAACGGGGCUCUUUACCCCAGACAUGGCUUUUGAGACCAUUGUGAAAAAGCAGGUGAAGAAGAUCCGAGAACCGUGUCUCAAGUGUGUGGACAUGGUUAUCUCGGAGCUAAUCAGCACGGUUAGACAGUGCACCAAGAAGCUGCAGCAGUACCCCCGGCUUCGGGAGGAGAUGGAGCGCAUCGUGACCACCCACAUCCGGGAGCGUGAGGGUCGCACCAAGGAGCAGGUUAUGCUCCUCAUCGAUAUUGAGCUGGCGUACAUGAAUACCAAUCAUGAGGACUUCAUAGGCUUUGCCAAUGCUCAGCAGAGGAGCAACCAGAUGAACAAGAAGAAGGCUUCAGGGAACCAGGAUGAGAUUCUGGUCAUCCGGAAGGGCUGGCUGACCAUCAACAAUAUUGGCAUCAUGAAGGGGGGCUCCAAGGAGUACUGGUUUGUCCUGACCGCUGAGAAUCUGUCCUGGUACAAGGAUGACGAGGAGAAAGAGAAGAAAUACAUGCUCUCCGUGGACAAUCUGAAGCUACGGGACGUGGAGAAAGGUUUCAUGUCAAGCAAGCACAUCUUUGCCCUCUUUAACACUGAGCAGAGGAAUGUCUACAAGGAUUAUCGGCAGCUGGAACUGGCCUGUGAGACGCAAGAGGAGGUGGAUAGCUGGAAGGCCUCUUUCCUGCGGGCUGGCGUAUAUCCUGAACGCGUUGGGGACAAGGAGAAAGCCAGCGAAACAGAGGAGAAUGGCUCAGACAGCUUCAUGCACUCCAUGGACCCACAGCUAGAGCGGCAGGUGGAGACCAUCCGGAACCUGGUAGACUCAUACAUGGCCAUCGUGAACAAGACCGUGCGUGACCUCAUGCCGAAGACCAUCAUGCAUCUCAUGAUCAACAAUACGAAGGAAUUCAUCUUCUCGGAGCUGCUCGCCAACCUGUACUCGUGCGGGGACCAGAACACACUGAUGGAGGAGUCGGCGGAGCAGGCGCAACGGCGCGACGAGAUGCUGCGCAUGUACCACGCACUGAAGGAGGCGCUCAGCAUCAUCGGCGAUAUCAACACGACCACUGUCAGCACGCCCAUGCCCCCGCCCGUGGACGACUCCUGGCUGCAGGUGCAGAGCGUACCGGCCGGACGCAGGUCACCCACGUCCAGCCCCACGCCGCAGCGCCGAGCCCCCGCCGUGCCCCCAGCCCGGCCCGGGUCGCGGGGCCCUGCUCCUGGGCCUCCGCCUGCUGGGUCCGCCCUGGGGGGGGCGCCCCCCGUGCCCUCCAGGCCGGGGGCUUCCCCUGACCCCUUCGGUCCUCCCCCCCAGGUGCCCUCGCGCCCCAACCGCGCCCCGCCCGGGGUCCCCAGGGAAAGACCUGGUCUUGGCUUCCCCCACCUCAGUCCUCCAGAAGGGCACUCUGCUCUAGGAACCAAGCUACCUGAAGAAUGGGGAAGAGGACCCAAAGCAGGCCUUUCCUGGGAAGGAAGUUACCCAACUAGAAGCCUCACCCUACUCCUGCAGGUGAAAAGAAAAACAUGGCUACUACACCCACCCCAACCUCCUAGCUCCAAAACACCUACCAACCAGGAACCAAACUGAGAAACCAGAGGUAAGAUGCCUGCCCUCUGACUCUUGGUAUCCUGGAGAACGAUCCUGGAACGGGACACAAGGAGCCACAGAGAAACUGCUCCCUCUUCCCCACCUGAACCCACUUGCUUGACGAGGGCCCUACCCAGCCUCCAUCCAGGCUCAGGUCUGACACACUCAGUCCAAGCACCUGGCUCUACAGAUCUAAUGUCUGAUGAUGAGUAAAGAUAAGUGGAGAGAUGGGGAAGAUGGCUGAUAAGCUCAAGUUUGAAGAGGGGAGCACUAGGGAGCACGAGGCCAGGAGCGGGAGGAAGAGGCCACACGUGUGUCUGUCUGUCUGUCUCUCUCUCAGCCCAGGGCUGGCUGCUUUCUGGAUGCAUCUGCUGCCCUCCUCAGACUCUGUGUCCAGGAUCCUGCAACCACAAGCCAGCAUUGCCGGGACAGAAAACUUAAGUGGGAAACAAUCACUGAUAGAAGAUUGGAUCUAAAAACCACAAGAGUUGGGAUCCCUGGGUGGCUCAGCAGUUUAGUGCCACCUUCCACCCAGGGCAUGAACCUGGAGUCCCGGAUCGAGUCCCACAUCGGGCUCCCUGCAUGGAGCCUGCUUCUCCCUCUGCCUAUGUCUCUGCCUCUCUCUCUCUCUCUAUCAUGAAUAAAUAAAUUAAAAAAAAACCCCACAAGAGUAAUCUGGGUUUUCCUUUCCAGGACAAUAGAGGGAUGCGGGCAGCGGGCACAGAAUCCUAGAACUCAGUGCAAAUACGAGCUUCAGGACUGCCCUAGGCCUAGGCUCCCCUCCUCCCUGUGCCUCUCAGCAGCUCCUCUGAGCCCACACGAUGAGUCACAGCACCUAGACAGACCCGACUACCCAGGCGUGAGCAGUCCCUGGGAGUGAAAGCCUCUAACACCAGCACCCAGGGCUCUGUCCCCUGCUCUCUCUCCAUGCCCAUCUCUUACUGGACGUGGCUGCGUUUCAGCCCUACGCCCCUGGCCUGGCCAGUGUCCCAGGAGGAAGUACCAAUGUCAUGUCCAGAGAACCCACCCAGGCUCCCUGCCUUUCUGGGAGAUACUCUGUGAGCUCAUAAUGCAGACUGUUACCUGCAUUCCACCCUCCGGCUGCCUGGGAUUCCCCUUCCCCCACUCUCCAUAUGGAUGAAUGCUACCCGCCUCUAAUCUUCCCAUCAGUCUUAAGUUCUUUUAGAACCAACCUUACCCUCAGUUAAGCACCUGGAAUGUUGCCACAUCUUACCUUGCUUCUUGCAGCAGGGUCUCUGCCUCCCUAAGUAUGCAUUCAACCUGGUUUACCUCUUUUUCUUGAGCACCUAGCCAACUGCCUCUCCUAGCAAGGACCCAUUGAAUACACAGCCCAGUGUUGAACUGAUUUUUGAGAAUAGGGGCAGGGCGGGAUGUCCUGGUCACUCAUGUUUGGUUAACUUCACAUGCUUUCCAGUUAAUUCCUCUGAAAAAAUAACCUCAGUCCUUGUAACUAUAACACACACUCCCUUUGUCUUAACCCUACACUACCUACUCUCCAACCAAAAUGAACUAAUCCAAUUCAAAAAAAGGACAAACUGCUAUGCAGUCUAUUCAUCUUUUGGGGGACAGGUGCCCAAAGGGCAAGUAUGAAGGUUUGCUUUUAUUUAAUCCAAAUCUGACGCGCCACUGGGUAUUCAUACCCAAGUCUAGAAAAAGCCAAAUCCCACACACCUGCUCUGGAAGCUUUCCCAAGUUACCUUUAAACUUCAAGAUGUGUCUCACAUCUUCUUCAAAAUGAUAAAAGAUGUGGGGGAAGGAAAAAAACCCAAUCAACCAAGCAGGUGAAAAAAAAAGCAGACAUGAACAGGCUGAGGGUUAAUGACAGCAACAUAAAAUAAGCCAGAGGCAAAGUAUUCCCCCAAACCAGAGAAGCCUUGGGGCAUGCACAGCUGGGAGAGAGCAAGCCAGAGAGGGGGUUCGGCACUG